AACAGGAUUAGAUACCCUGGUAGUCCACGCCGUAAACGAUGUCGACUUGGAGGUUGUUCCCUUGAGGAGUGGCUUCCGGAGCUAACGCGUUAAGUCGACCGCCUGGGGAGUACGGCCGCAAGGUUAAAACUCAAAUGAAUUGACGGGGGCCCGCACAAGCGGUGGAGCAUGUGGUUUAAUUCGAUGCAACGCGAAGAACCUUACCUACUCUUGACAUCCAGAGAACUUAGCAGAGAUGCUUUGGUGCCUUCGGGAACUCUGAGACAGGUGCUGCAUGGCUGUCGUCAGCCCGUGUUGUGAAAUGUUGGGUUAAGUCCCGCAACGAGCGCAACCCUUAUCCUUUGUUGCCAGCGGUUCGGCCGGGAACUCAAAGGAGACUGCCAGUGAUAAACUGGAGGAAGGUGGGGAUGACGUCAAGUCAUCAUGGCCCUUACGAGUAGGGCUACACACGUGCUAUAAUGGCGCAUACAAAGAGAAGCGACCUCGCGAGAGCAAGCGGACCUCAUAAAGUGCGUCGUAGUCCGGAUCGGAGUCUGCAACUCGACUCCGUGAAGUCGGAAUCGCUAGUAAUCGUAGAUCAGAAUGCUACGGUGAAUACGUUCCCGGGCCUUGUACACACCGCCCGUCACACCAUGGGAGUGGGUUGCAAAAGAAGUAGGUAGCUUAACCUUCGGGAGGGCGCUUACCACUUUGUGAUUCAUGACUGGGGUGAAGUCGUAACAAGGUAACC
RNAcentral lists this ribosomal RNA (730 nucleotides) under uncultured bacterium. RNAcentral's name for it is "bacterial SSU rRNA". It matches the Rfam family "Bacterial small subunit ribosomal RNA", at positions 771 to 1501 of the family's 1533-position model. The record is from RNAcentral.